Gigantopelta aegis is the source of this 1409-nucleotide long non-coding RNA. RefSeq lists it as uncharacterized. The record is from RefSeq and is a predicted model, not a curated record. NCBI's taxonomy places the organism in Eukaryota, Metazoa, Mollusca, Gastropoda, Neomphalida, Peltospiridae. The transcript has 2 exons.
AAAAAUAUUUGUUAGAAUCAAUGUAUGGUUAGAGAUAGUUAUUGAUCUUUUUUUUAAGCUUAUAAAACAUUUUGUUUUAUAAUUUUAAGCAACAUAAUGUGUACCGGUAUAUUUCAUAAUCCUUUCUGGUGAUCAGGCUUGGGAUCACAAUGUCAUGCAUUCAUAUUUUUUUCGUACAUACAAAAUGAAUUAUUUGAAAGUAAAAUUUGGUUUGGGCUACAAUAAACCUCAAUUGUUUAGGGUACCAGACGUUUCUCCCCCAAAUUGGAUGUCAGUUCGCCCUCGCAUGCUUAACCAGUUCGCCCCCACAAAGGUACCAGUUCACCCCCAUAAAGAUUUAUAUGUAUUAAUUAAUUAAUUAAACUGGUGAUUAUGUCAAAUGUGCCCCGACUGACUCAGGAUCCAACCAAAUUGUGGAAAGACGACAAUCCCUCCCCUCUAAGAAAAGAAACACACACACACACACACACGGUUUAACAUGCCUCUAAAGAAAAAUACAGUAAUUGUUUAAAAGUAACAAAUAAUUGGGAUUUGGGGGCGAACUGGUACAUGGAGGGAACAGGCCAAACUGGGGGCAAAAGGUCAUGGAUUCAUUGUAUAUACAAAAAGUAAGUUUGUUUUCUUUAACGACACCACUAGAGCACAUUGAUUUAUUAAUUAUUGGCUAUUGGAUGUCAAACAGGUAAUUUUGACAUAUAAUUUUUGAGAGGGAACAUGCUAAAAAUUAAUUAGUAGCAAUGUAUUUUUAUCUAUGCACCAUCCUACAACAGGAUACUACUUACCAAGAUGAAAUACAUAUGAAAUCGUGCAACAAUUGCCAAUCGAUGCAUACUUUUUGUUUGCUGAGAAUAUAUAUAAAAUUAAAAUAUUUAUACCAUUAUAUUUUGUGUUACCUGUUUACUUCUCUGUUCACUUCACCCCCAACUGUCGGUAUGGAUGCCCCCAAAUAUUUACAACACAUCUUUGGUUGCAUUUUGUAUUUAUAUUAUAAAAAUUGUUUCAUAUUACUUUGACUGGGGUGUGGUAUCAAGCCUUUUCGCCCCAUGCCAGUUAAUUUCUUUUCAAAACGCUUGUCUUCUCUUUUGAAAAAAACUAUAAAACUCUUAAACUGACACAGGAAAAGUCUUGGAUAGGAUAUUGACAUACCUUUGGGGAUGGAUUGGUUUGCAUGAGGAUGAAAUGGACAUUUAUUUUGAUUACAAGAAACACAAGUUAUAUAUAUAUAUUUUUUUUUUUCUUCAGAAAAAUCGUCAGCACAUGCUGGUCAUCAUAUUAUGGAAAUAUUUGUGACUGAAUCCCAUCUGAAUGUUGGAUGACAUAUAUCAAGAUGCCACUGAACAGGACAUAACUGAGGAAAAUGGAUGUGAGAUAAUCCAAUCUAACAGUUGGAAAUAAAUAUAUAUAGUAUU